GACGAACGCUGGCGGCGUGCCUAAUACAUGCAAGUUGAGCGCUGAAGGUUGGUACUUGUACCAACUGGAUGAGCAGCGAACGGGUAAGUAACGCGUGGGGAAUCUGCCUUUGAGCGGGGGACAACAUUUGGAAACGAAUGCUAAUACCGCAUAAAAACUUUAAACACAAGUUUUAAGUUUGAAAGAUGCAAUUGCAUCACUCAAAGAUGAUCCCGCGUUGUAUUAGCUAGUUGGUGAGGUAAAGGCUCACCAAGGCGAUGAUACAUAGCCGACCUGAGAGGGUGAUCGGCCACAUUGGGACUGAGACACGGCCCAAACUCCUACGGGAGGCAGCAGUAGGGAAUCUUCGGCAAUGGACGAAAGUCUGACCGAGCAACGCCGCGUGAGUGAAGAAGGUUUUCGGAUCGUAAAACUCUGUUGGUAGAGAAGAACGUUGGUGAGAGUGGAAAGCUCAUCAAGUGACGGUAACUACCCAGAAAGGGACGGCUAACUACGUG
This 497-nucleotide ribosomal RNA is filed under the name uncultured bacterium. Its description in RNAcentral is "partial 16S ribosomal RNA". It matches the Rfam family "Bacterial small subunit ribosomal RNA", at positions 28 to 507 of the family's 1533-position model. The record is from RNAcentral.